Molecule: ribosomal RNA, 467 nt
Filed under: uncultured bacterium
Lineage: Bacteria
Description: partial 16S ribosomal RNA
Rfam family: Bacterial small subunit ribosomal RNA
Source: RNAcentral
ACGAACGCUGGCGGCGUGCUUCACACAUGCAAGUCGAACGGAAAGGCCCUGCUUUUGUGGGGUGCUCGAGUGGCGAACGGGUGAGUAACACGUGAGUAACCUGCCCUUGACUUUGGGAUAACUUCAGGAAACUGGGGCUAAUACCGGAUAGGAGCUCCUGCCGCAUGGUGGGGGUUGGAAAGUUUCGGCGGUUGGGGAUGGACUCGCGGCUUAUCAGCUUGUUGGUGGGGUAGUGGCUUACCAAGGCUUUGACGGGUAGCCGGCCUGAGAGGGUGACCGGCCACAUUGGGACUGAGAUACGGCCCAGACUCCUACGGGAGGCAGCAGUGGGGAAUAUUGCACAAUGGGCGGAAGCCUGAUGCAGCAACGCCGCGUGCGGGAUGACGGCCUUCGGGUUGUAAACCGCUUUCGCCUGUGACGAAGCGUGAGUGACGGUAAUGGGUAAAGAAGCACCGGCUAACUACGUG